This 1437-nucleotide small RNA is filed under the name Pongo abelii (Sumatran orangutan). RNAcentral's name for it is "retained intron". The record is from RNAcentral. Lineage: Eukaryota; Metazoa; Chordata; Mammalia; Primates; Hominidae.
CCAUUCGGUCGCGCGCCUAGGCAUGCAGAAGGUUCCAGAAAACUUGAAGGGCGGGGGCUGUGGUCGCUAAUAAGAUUUGUGAUCAGAUCAGUGAUGCUGUCCUUGAUGCCCACCUUCAGCAGGAUCCUGAUGCCAAAGUAGCUUGUGAAACUGUCGCUAAAACUGGAAUGAUCCUUCUUGCUGGGGAAAUUACAUCCAGAGCUGCUGUUGACUACCAGAAAGUGGUUCGUGAAGCUGUUAAACACAUUGGAUAUGAUGAUUCUUCCAAAGGUUUUGACUACAAGACUUGUAAUGUGCUGGUAGCCUUGGAGCAGCAGUCACCAGAUAUUGCUCAAGGUGUUCAUCUUGACAGAAAUGAAGAAGACAUUGGUGCUGGAGACCAGGGCUUAAUGUUUGGCUAUGCCACUGAUGAAACUGAGGAGUGUAUGCCUUUAACCAUUGUCUUGGCACACAAGCUAAAUGCCAAACUGGCAGAACUGCGCCGUAAUGGCACUUUGCCUUGGUUACGCCCUGAUUCUAAAACUCAAGUUACUGUGCAAUAUAUGCAGGAUCGAGGUGCUGUGCUUCCCAUCAGAGUCCACACAAUUGUUAUAUCUGUUCAGCAUGAUGAAGAGGUUUGUCUUGAUGAGAUGAGGGAUGCACUAAAGGAGAAAGUCAUCAAAGCAGUUGUGCCUGCGAAAUACCUUGAUGAGGAUACAAUCUACCACCUACAGCCAAGUGGCAGAUUUGUUAUUGGUGGGCCUCAGGUAAUGUCAUUUUGUUGCAUUUUUCUGGAUUUUUGAUGGUUACUUAAAAUUUUGGCUACUACAUUUUUUUCAGGCUUUCUGAAACCUACAUGUGAAUCAUCGGAGGAUAUUUGCUGAGUGAAUUCAGAAUAGGCAACCUAAUCCACUUGGAAAGCACUAGGCAUAAAGUAACUUAAAUCCUGUAAUUUCAGGGUGAUGCUGGUUUGACUGGACGGAAAAUCAUUGUGGACACUUACGGCGGUUGGGGUGCUCAUGGAGGAGGUGCCUUUUCAGGAAAGGAUUAUACCAAGGUCGACCGUUCAGCUGCUUAUGCUGCUCGUUGGGUGGCAAAAUCCCUUGUUAAAGGAGGUCUGUGCCGGAGGGUUCUUGUUCAGGUCUCUUAUGCUAUUGGAGUUUCUCAUCCAUUAUCUAUCUCCAUUUUCCAUUAUGGUACCUCUCAGAAGAGUGAGAGAGAGCUAUUAGAGAUUGUGAAGAAGAAUUUCGAUCUCCGCCCUGGGGUCAUUGUCAGGUAAAGAUGGUAAAGCCUAUUGCUAGUCAAGUAUUGAGGGUGUGGGUGUGUGUAUAUAUACUUAAGGCUGAGGAGGUGAAGGUGUGAAGGAAGACUCCUCAAAUGGGAAUACAUUUUAAUUUCUGGAACAGUUUUGAACUGCUGCCUUAGUGAAGACUUAGUUAUUUGAGAAAUUUAAAAUUA